AAGCCAGUGGUGAACUCCACAUACGCAUCCUUUGCUGAGGAUACGGUUAACGGAGCGAAAGCGACGUUCAACCGCAAAAGAAGCAGAGGGGGCUUAGUGGUGGGGUGACUGCGUACCUUUUGUAUAAUGGGUCAGCGACUUAUAUUCUGUAGCAAGGUUAACCGAAUAGGGGAGCCGGAGGGAAACCGAGUCUUAAUUGGGCGUUAAGUUGCAGGGUAUAGACCCGAAACCCGGUGAUCUAGCCAUGGGCAGGUUGAAGGUUGGGUAACACUAACUGGAGGACCGAACCGACUAAUGUUGAAAAAUUAGCGGAUGACCUGUGGCUGGGGGUGAAAGGCCAAUCAAACCGGGAGAUAGCUGGUUCUCCCCGAAAGCUAUUUAGGUAGCGCCUCGUGAAUUCAUCUCCGGGGGUAGAGCACUGUUUCGGCUAGGGGGCCAUCCCGGCUUACCAACCCGAUGCAAACUGCGAAUACCGGAGAAUGUUAUCACGGGAGACACACGGCGGGUGCUAACGUCCGUCGUGAAGAGGGAAACAACCCAGACCGCCAGCUAAGGUCCCAAAGUCAUGGUUAAGUGGGAAACGAUGUGGGAAGGCCCAGACAGCCAGGAUGUUGGCUUAGAAGCAGCCAUCAUUUAAAGAAAGCGUAAUAGCUCACUGGUCGAGUCGGCCUGCGCGGAAGAUGUAACGGGGCUAAACCAUGCACCGAAGCUGCGGCAGCGAACGUAUCACCCAAGACAACUUUACGGAGUUGACGAUUGACGGAGCGAAGCGACGUCAAAGCGUUCAUUAAAGUCGAGUUGGCUUAGGGAUACGUU
This 816-nucleotide ribosomal RNA is filed under the name Salmonella enterica subsp. enterica serovar Heidelberg. RNAcentral describes it as "partial 23S ribosomal RNA". It matches the Rfam family "Bacterial large subunit ribosomal RNA", at positions 1 to 1298 of the family's 2925-position model. The record is from RNAcentral. Lineage: Bacteria; Pseudomonadati; Pseudomonadota; Gammaproteobacteria; Enterobacterales; Enterobacteriaceae.